Metopolophium dirhodum (rose-grain aphid) is the source of this 351-nucleotide long non-coding RNA. RefSeq lists it as uncharacterized. Lineage: Eukaryota; Metazoa; Arthropoda; Insecta; Hemiptera; Aphididae. The transcript is spliced from 3 exons. The record is from RefSeq and is a predicted model, not a curated record.
GGCGGUAGUGUAUAUAAAUGCGUCCCAGAUCUUGAUUCCGGCAUAACACAUAUUUUUUUACAGAUUAAUUCUUUGUUUUCACUUUAAUCCUCAAAAACCAACCAAAAAAUCAAAAAAUGGGCGCUGAAAAGGUAUCCAUGAACAUCGUUGUCGUUGGACAAGUCCAAUCUGCCAAAGCCAUCAAGACCGUCGCCAAGGCCACACCAGCCACCAGCCAACUGAUGAACUGUUAAUUCAUGUAAUCCAUACAUUGCAAAGCUCAAAAAUGCCAUAGCCCAAACAGUACAAUAAUAUGUAAUUUAUAUCAGUAUUGACACCGCAAAAUAAAUCAGUCGUUUCCGAUGAACAUAA